UACGGGGGGAGCAAGCGUUGUUCGGAUUUACUGGGCGUAAAGGGCGCGUAGGCGGCCACUGCAAGUCGGUUGUGAAAUCUCCGGGCUUAACCCGGAAAGGUCAAUCGAUACUGCAGGGCUAGAGUGCAGAAGGGGCAACUGGAAUUCUCGGUGUAGCGGUGAAAUGCGCAGAUAUCGGGAGGAACACCGGUGGCGAAGGCGGUUCUCUGGGCCUUACCUGACGCUGAGGAGCGAAAGCGUGGGGAGCGAACAGG
RNAcentral lists this ribosomal RNA (254 nucleotides) under uncultured bacterium. Its description in RNAcentral is "partial 16S ribosomal RNA". It matches the Rfam family "Bacterial small subunit ribosomal RNA", at positions 524 to 776 of the family's 1533-position model. The record is from RNAcentral.